RNAcentral lists this ribosomal RNA (253 nucleotides) under uncultured bacterium. RNAcentral's name for it is "partial 16S ribosomal RNA". It matches the Rfam family "Bacterial small subunit ribosomal RNA", at positions 524 to 776 of the family's 1533-position model. The record is from RNAcentral.
UACGAAGGGGGCUAGCGUUGUUCGGAAUUACUGGGCGUAAAGCGUGCGCAGGCGGCGCGUUAAGACAGGUGUGAAAGCCCCGAGCUUAACUUGGGAAUUGCGCUUGUGACUGGCGUGCUGGAGUGUGGCAGAGGGAGGUGGAAUUCCACGUGUAGCAGUGAAAUGCGUAGAGAUGUGGAGGAACACCGAUGGCGAAGGCAGCCCCCUGGGCUGAGAUUGACGCUCAGGCACGAAAGCGUGGGGAGCAAACAGG